UGGGGAAUAUUGCACAAUGGGGGGAACCCUGAUGCAGCGAUGCCGCGUGGAGGAAGAAGGUUUUCGGAUUGUAAACUCCUGUCUUAAAGGACGAUAAUGACGGUACUUUAGGAGGAAGCUCCGGCUAACUACGUGCCAGCAGCCGCGGUAAUACGUAGGGAGCGAGCGUUGUCCGGAAUUACUGGGUGUAAAGGGAGCGUAGGCGGGAUUGCAAGUCAGAUGUGAAAUACGUGGGCUUAACCCACGGGCUGCAUUUGAAACUGUAGUUCUUGAGUGAAGUAGAGGCAAGCGGAAUUCCUGGUGUAGCGGUGAAAUGCGUAGAUAUCAGGAGGAACACCGGUGGCGAAGGCGGCUUGCUGGGCUUUUACUGACGCUGAGGCUCGAAAGCGUGGGGAGCAAACAGG
RNAcentral lists this ribosomal RNA (404 nucleotides) under uncultured bacterium. Its description in RNAcentral is "bacterial SSU rRNA". It matches the Rfam family "Bacterial small subunit ribosomal RNA", at positions 355 to 776 of the family's 1533-position model. The record is from RNAcentral.